GAUGAACGCUGACAGAAUGCUUAACACAUGCAAGUCUACUUGAUCCUUCGGGUGAUGGUGGCGGACGGGUGAGUAACGCGUAAAGAACUUGCCCUGCAGUCUGGGACAACAUUUGGAAACGAAUGCUAAUACCGGAUAUUAUGUGAGUUUCGCAUGAAAUUCAUAUGAAAGCUAUAUGCGCUGCAGGAGAGCUUUGCGUCCUAUUAGCUAGUUGGUGAGGUAACGGCUCACCAAGGCGAUGAUAGGUAGCCGGCCUGAGAGGGUGAACGGGCCACAAGGGGACUGAGACACGGGCCCUUACUCCUACGGGAGGCAGCAGUGGGGAAUAUUGGACAAUGGACCAAAAGUCUGAUCCAGCAAUUCUGUGUGCACGAUGAAGUUUUUUCGGAAUGUAAAGUGCUUUCAGUUGGGACG
RNAcentral lists this ribosomal RNA (414 nucleotides) under uncultured bacterium. RNAcentral's name for it is "bacterial SSU rRNA". It matches the Rfam family "Bacterial small subunit ribosomal RNA", at positions 28 to 447 of the family's 1533-position model. The record is from RNAcentral.